Molecule: long non-coding RNA, 381 nt
Organism: Oryctolagus cuniculus (rabbit)
Lineage: Eukaryota; Metazoa; Chordata; Mammalia; Lagomorpha; Leporidae
Source: Ensembl
AUGAUGCAUAAGUCCCAGAAUUCUUUGGUCUUCUCCCUGAUUCUCCUGGUCAAGUUUGCCCAGGGAGCAGCGUUUGAAUGGCAGGAUCAGGGGUCUGCUUGCCUGCUGGGCCGGAUGGACACAUUCUCACUAAGAACUCCUGUGAGGACUCAGCCAGCUCAAGGUUGCUCCCACAACUCCAUUCCUGCAGAUGCAUUGGAGAUGACUGCUGGCCUGCGGGGUUGGAGAGGCGUGGUCUCUCACAAAUCACCCAGUGCGAUGGGGAUAGCCUCCUCCCUGUCUGCUGUCCCGAGUUUCCAUCCAGACAGGACAUGCAGCCGCUAUGGAGAGGAAGAAGAACUAAUCAGAAGGGAGUAUUUGGAUUUUAACAUGAAACAAUAA